Molecule: ribosomal RNA, 484 nt
Filed under: uncultured bacterium
Lineage: Bacteria
Description: partial 16S ribosomal RNA
Rfam family: Bacterial small subunit ribosomal RNA
Source: RNAcentral
AUUGAACGCUGGCGGCAGGCCUAACACAUGCAAGUCGAGCGGAUGGAGGGUGCUUGCUCCUGGAUCCCGCGGCGGGCGGGUGAGUGAUGCCUAGGAGUAUGCCUGGCUGUGGGGGAUAACAUCCGGAAAAGGGCGGUAAUAACACAACAGUCCUGAGGGAGAACGUGGGGGAGGUUCGGACCUCAUGCUCUGAGCUGAGCCUAGGCCGGACUAGCUAGUUGGUGGGGGAAAGGCCUACCAAGGCGGGGAUCCGUAAGUGGUCUGAGAGGAUGAGCAGUCACACUGGAGCUUGGACACGCUCCAGACUCCUACGGGGGGCAGCAGUCGGGAAUGUUGGGCAACGGGCGGGAGCCUGGUCCAGCCGUGCCGCGUGUGUGAAGACGGUCUUCGGAUUGUAAAGCACUUCAAGUGGGGAGGAAGGGCAGUAAGCUAAUACCUUGCUGUUUUGACGGUACCAAGAGAAUAAGCACCGGCUAACUUCGUG